UAGGGAAUCUUCGGCAAUGGACGAAAGUCUGACCGAGCAACGCCGCGUGAGUGAAGAAGGUUUUCGGAUCGUAAAACUCUGUUGUUAGAGAAGAACAAGGACGUUAGUAACUGAACGUCCCCUGACGGUAUCUAACCAGAAAGCCACGGCUAACUACGUGCCAGCAGCCGCGGUAAUACGUAGGUGGCAAGCGUUGUCCGGAUUUAUUGGGCGUAAAGCGAGCGCAGGCGGUUUCUUAAGUAUGAUGUGAAAGCCCCCGGCUCAACCGGGGAGGGUCAUUGGAAACUGGGAGACUUGAGUGCAGAAGAGGAGAGUGGAAUUCCAUGUGUAGCGGUGAAAUGCGUAGAUAUAUGGAGGAACACCAGUGGCGAAGGCGGCUCUCUGGUCUGUAACUGACGCUGAGGCUCGAAAGCGUGGGGAGCAAACA
This 427-nucleotide ribosomal RNA is filed under the name uncultured bacterium. RNAcentral's name for it is "partial 16S ribosomal RNA". It matches the Rfam family "Bacterial small subunit ribosomal RNA", at positions 355 to 774 of the family's 1533-position model. The record is from RNAcentral.